Small nucleolar RNA from Arvicola amphibius (Eurasian water vole), 106 nucleotides. RefSeq annotates it as small nucleolar RNA U13. The record is from RefSeq and is a predicted model, not a curated record. The transcript has a single exon. NCBI's taxonomy places the organism in Eukaryota, Metazoa, Chordata, Mammalia, Rodentia, Cricetidae.
AUGUUUUCUCAUGAUUCAGAAAUGUGAUGAUUGAGUUUUCAUGUCAUUGUGAGGGAUAGGCUUCCCUCAAACUGUGUUACCACAGCAGGAUGUUACUUGUCUGACA